RNAcentral lists this ribosomal RNA (253 nucleotides) under uncultured bacterium. RNAcentral describes it as "partial 16S ribosomal RNA". It matches the Rfam family "Bacterial small subunit ribosomal RNA", at positions 524 to 776 of the family's 1533-position model. The record is from RNAcentral.
UACGUAGGGACCGAGCGUUGUCCGGAUUCAUUGGGCGUAAAGAGCUCGUAGGCGGCUGCUCAAGUCGAAUGUGAAAACUCGAGGCUCAACCUCGAGCCUGCAUUCGAUACUGGGCGGCUAGAGUCUGGUAGGGGGAUCUGGAAUUCCUGGUGUAGCGGUGGAAUGCGCAGAUAUCAGGAGGAACACCAAUGGCGAAGGCAGCACUCUGGGACGUGACUGACGCUGAGACGCGAAAGCGUGGGGAGCAAACAGG